The sequence is a transfer RNA, 91 nucleotides long. It matches the Rfam family "tRNA". From Rfam's summary of the family: Transfer RNA (tRNA) molecules are approximately 80 nucleotides in length. Their secondary structure includes four short double-helical elements and three loops (D, anti-codon, and T loops).
GGCUACCUGGCGCAAUGGUAGCGCGUUUGGCUUCGAUCGCCACACGGCUACAAUAACCAAAAGGUUGCAGGUUCGAUCCCUGCGGUGGUCA